UUUUUUUUAAGUUUUAUUGAAGUAUAGUAGAUUUGCAAAGUUGUGAUAAUUUCUGCUGUACAAAAAAGUAAUUCAGUCAUACAUACACACAUAUCCAUUCUCUUUUAGAUUCUUUUCCCAUAUAGAUUAUCACAAUACUGGGUAGAGUUCUUUGCUAAACAGCAGGUUCCCAUUGGCCAAUCAUUCCACAUACCUCAGUGUACAUAUGCCAAUCCAAAACCCCCAGUCCAUCCCUUCACCCGUCCCACCUGUCCCCUUCCGUAACCAUAAGUUUUUCAAAGUUUGUGACUCUGUUUCUUUUCUAUAAAUAAGUUCAUUUGUAUCCUUUUUUGUUUGUUUGUUUUGAGUCCACAUAUAGGUGAUAUCAUAUGACGUUUGUCUUUCACUGAAGAGAAAGUAUGGUAGCUUCUAGGUCCAUCCAUGUUUCUGCAAAUGGCAUUAUUUCAUUCUUUUUAUGGCUGAGUAAUAUUCCAUUGUAUAUAUGUACCACAUCUUCUUUAUUUAGUCCUCUGUUGAUGGACAUUUAAGUUGCUUUCCAUGUCUUGGCUAAUGUAAAUAGUGCUAUAAUGACACUGGGGUGAAUGAAUCUUUUCAAAUUAUGGUUUUCUCUGGAUAGAUGCCCAGAAAUGGGAUUGCUGGAUCAUAUGAUAGUUCUAUUUUUAGUUUUUUGAGGAACCUCUAUACUGUUUUCCAUAAUGGUUGCACCCAUGUACAUUCACACCAACAGUGUAAGAGGGUUCCCUUUUCUCUACACCCUUUCCAGCAUUUAUUAUUUGUAGACUUUUUGAUGAUGGCCAUUCUGGCUGUUGUAAGGUGGUAGCUCAUAGUGGUUUUAUUUGCAUUUCUUUAAUAAUUAGUUAUGUUGAACAUCUUUUCAUGUGUAUUGUUUGGUUUUUGUUUUGUUUUUAUUUUUGUUUUUUGGCCAUCUAUAUGUCUUCUUUGGAGAAAUGUCUAUCUAGCCCUGCCCAUAUUUUCUAUUGGGUUGGUUGGGGUUUUUGUUUGUUUGUUUGUUUGUUUGUUUGUUUUAGUAUUGAAUUGCAGGAGGUGUUUGUAUAUUUUGGAGAUUAAUCCCUUGUCAGUUGUAAAUAUUUUCUCCUACUCUGUGUGGUGUGUUGUCUUUUCAUUUUGCUUAUGGUUUCCUUUGCUGCACAAAAACUUUUUAAGUUUAAUUAGGUCUCAUUUGUUUGUUUUCAUUACUCUAGGCAGUGGAUCUGAGAAGAUAUUGCUGCAGUUUAAGUCAAAGAGUGUUCAGCCUUAGUGUUCCUCUAAGAGUUUUAUAGUACCCAGUCUUACAUUUAGGUCUUUAAUCCAUUUUGAGUUUAUUUUCGUGUAUGGUGUUAGAGGAUGUUCUAAUUUCAUUUCUUUGUCAUGUAGCUGUCCUGUUUUCCCAGCACCACAUAUUGAAGAGAUUGUCUUACUCCGUUUUAUAUUCUUGCCUCCUUUGUCAUAGAUUAAUGCACCAUAGGUACUUGGGUUUAUUUUGGGGCUUUCUAUCCUGUUCUGUUGAUCUACAUUUGUUUCUGUGCCAGUACCACACUAUUUUGAUGACUAUAGCUUUGUAGGGCAAUCUGAAGUCAGGGAGCCUAAUUCCUCCAGCUCCACUUUUCUUUUUCAGGAUUGCUUUGGCUAUUCAGUCUUUUAUGUUUUGAUUUGCAUUUUUCUAAUAAUUAGUGAUGAUAAUUAUCUUUUCAUGUUCCUAUUGCCCUUCCAUAUGUCUUUUUUGGAGAAAUAUCUGUUUAGGUCUUCUGCCCAUUUUUUGAUUGGUUUGUUUGUUAUUGAGUUAUAUGAGCUCUUUGUAUAUUUUGGAAAUUAAGCCCUGUCGGUCAUAUCAUUUGGAAAAUAUUUUCUCCCAGUUAUAGGUUGUCUUUGUUUUGUUCCUGGUUUCCUUUUUUGUACAAAACUUAUAAGUUGAUUAGGUCCCAUUUGUUUAUUUUUGCUUUUAUUUGUAUUGCCUUUGGAGACUGACCUAAGAAAAUAUUGGCACAAUUUAUGUCUGAGAAUGUUUUAUGGUGUCAUAUCUUGUAUUUAAGUCUUUAAACGAUUUUGAGUUUAUUUUGUAUCUGGUGUGAGGGUGUAAGAACCACUGCUUUCAUAUCAAGGUUCCCCAAUCUAGAUUCUUAUCAUAAUCACAUCAGACACUUAAAAACAAACAAUAACAAAGAAAAAUAUAUUCCCUGGUACAUGUAUAACUGAAUCACUUUGUUGUACAGCAGAAAUCAUCACAACCUUAUAAUUCAACGAUACUUCCAUAAAAAUUAAAAAAAAAAUCUUCCCUGGAUAUUUUGCUGAUUUGCCAGGUUUGGGAAUCAUUGCCGGAGAGCCAGAACUACACUAAAUGAACAUCAUUGGUUUUAUUCUCUCUGCAAACAGGGACCAUCCCCCUCUCCAUCCCCAUUCUUAUCUUCCAAGAUUUGGGUUGGGGUGGGAGAACUCUGAAGCAUCCCAAAACCAAAUACCCAAGAAAAGCAAGGCAAAAUGAAUAAUGGCACUUCCAGGAAUUGCUUCUUGCAGUGCAGGAUAAAAUCCUGCUGUCACUUUACAACAUGGCCUCUAUCAUGGCUGUAACCAUUCUAUGAAAUACACGAUCACUCUCAGACUUAAUUUUCCAUAUAUUUUGGAGAUGCUCAAUUGAGUAAGAUGCAGAGGCAUGUAUAUUUUCCUAUGAUAUAUGCACCCAAGGUAAAAAUAUCCCCUAAAGGAUAAAUUUCAAGAACUAAGAGCCUCCAGAGACCUGAGGAGAGUGUGAAGUCAGGCAGGCAGAAAAUGAAGGGGCUUGCAGGUCACACAUGCUACUUACUGAGUUUAGACUCUAUACUCCUUAUUUGCAGACUCAUUUUUUUUAGUAAUUGACAAAAAAAAUGAAUAUAUUUAAAGAGUACAACUUGAUGUGUAUAUACUGUGAAAUUAUCACUACAAUCAACCUAAUUCAUCACUUUACAUAGUUAUCACUUUUUUUUCUUUUUCUUCUCUCCCUUUUCCUUACCACACUUCAUGUUAAGCCCACACUAUUUGUUCUUCCUAGAAUGGAAUGUGUUCAUGCUUCUAUUUUUUUAUGUCCUUUUCCCACUAUUGGUAUGCUUUUCCUCUACUUUCCUCUCUACCACUUAACAUAGUAUUUUUUUGAGACAAGUCAACUCAAAUAUCACCUUAUCCGGUAAGCCUUCUCUUAUUCCCCAAGCAGUGCUCUCUCGUUCAUGCUUGCAUCACCCUUUAUGUAGAUCUCAGCAUAAUACUCAUGACACUUUGCUGUCAUUAUUAGCUAGUUGUUUCUCUCUUCAAUCAGAUUGAGAACUCUUUGGGGUACAGACCUGGUUUUUGUAUAUCUGGUUUCUAAAAAUGCCUGCUAAGUAAAUGAAUUUUUAAAAAAAGAAUGAGGCAAUUACUAUUUAUACUUUGAACAGCAUUAUAUUUAGUCUAGCACCAAUGUGCAAAGAUUAAGAAACGAAAGAAAGGGAAACCAAGGAUGAGAAAGAAAAACUCAUCAGAAUGGAACAGGAUAGUUAAGGACCAUGCUGGCCAAGUCAGGGUGGAUUUAAAAGAGAAAGAUAGAGAGACUAUGGCCAGCCAAGUGAAGAAGAGAAUGGAGUUCAAAGUAUGUUCAAAAAAAUUCAAGGAUGACUCACAAGAUCUGGCAAAAAGCAGAAUUAGAAAGGUGAGAACGGUAUUCAUAGAAUGAGGACUGAAUCAGCUGAGGGUCAGAGUUAACCAAGUGGGAGGCUAUACAGCAGAACCUGGGAUGGUGGCACCAGGAAGACAAGUUGUCAGGGCAGUGACAGCCGCAGGGAGAACUCUGACGAGUUCUUCCUUCAAAAAAGUCACUGAAUCCCUUUGCUCUCAACACCUAUAACUACACAGGACAGUUCUCUGUCCUUCCCCCAUCAUGGCUGGAUGUCAAAGGCACUGGCUCC
Molecule: long non-coding RNA, 3908 nt
Filed under: Sus scrofa (pig)
Lineage: Eukaryota; Metazoa; Chordata; Mammalia; Artiodactyla; Suidae
Description: lncRNA (ENSSSCG00000061013.1, ENSSSCG00130008617.1)
Source: RNAcentral